UUUUUUUCUUUUUUUCUUUUUUGGCUAUUCCCAGGGCAUGUGAAAGUUCCCAGGCCAAGGACCAAAUCUGAGCCAGAGCAGUGACAACACCACGUCUUGAACCACUAAGCCACCCCAGAACUCCUAUAUCUGUUUCACGUAACAAUAAAACAGUUGAAAAAAUAAUAAAAGGGGUGUUUCCGCUGCGGCACAGCAGGUGAAGGAUCUGGCGUUGUCUCUGCAGCAGCCUGGCUUGCUGCAGAGGCACAGGUUUGAUCUCUGGCCUCGGAACUUCCAUAUGCCAGGGGUGCAACCCAAAUAAAUAAAUAAAUAAAUAAUAUUCUUAUUAAAAGGAAAGCUUGCUCCACCGUGGAGGCGAUGCAACCCAAGAGCCAGCAUGCGGCUGGGUGGUAACAGGAAGGCAGCCAGGGGAUGGCUUACAGGUAGGAUCGGGACAGACUGGCCACCAGCAGGGGACUCUGGAAGUGUUACUGGUUUGAAAUGAGUUGGGGGCCAAGUCUCCCCCUUUCGGUCCACUCCACGUCACCCCCUUUAGGCAUCAGGCUCCCUGCAGGAAGUUGCCCUGUCUGCCUAGGCAGGGCCGGGAACCCGCAAGCACCCUGCCCUCUAGCCCUGUUCUCGUCACUGUGCUGAGUCGUAAAGAGAGAUUUCUGGCUGGAACAUCCCCCACCCCAAGCCCCCCUACCAGGGUUUUAAGCUCCACAGGGCCAGGGUCACUGCUGACUUGCUUACAUAAGCCCAGAGCCUGGUGUUUGCUGAAUGAAUGAAUGAAUGCAUGAGCCACCCUUCCAUAAAAGCCGUCCUCUCUAUUACAUUCCCAGGAUCAGAACCCACUCCUGCCUUACUUAACAUGGAAUCAUCAGGGCCUGAGUCAGGGCUUGCCACCUGCCUCCCCAGUAUAUCCUUAUGAAACAAAUGAAUGGAAAAAGAACUGUUCUAGGGAUAAAGGAUACAAAGAUGACCAAGACAUGGCCCUUCCAUCCAAGACUUCCUCAUCUAACAAGGAGAGACACAGACCAGACCAUGUGAUGAAGGCACAGGCAGCAAAUGAACAGGGGUGACGGGAGCACGGGAGGGGGCUGUGACGUGUGAGGGGGAAUCAGGGAGGGCUUCCUGGAAGAGAGGACAAGGAGCUGAUUCUUGAAGGAAAAGCUAGAAAGUCUCCCCAGUGGGAGGCAGGCAGCACCUUCUGGGAAGUGGCCAGGGUCUCCCCUCCCCCACUGGCUUCUCGCCACACCAUCUGCCCCAUCAGCUGCUUCCACCAAGAGUCAUCUUCCCCAAAUCCUCACAUCAUGCCAUGGUUACCACCUAAACACACACACGCACGCACGCAGGCACAUGCACACGCACACCCCCCCCCAAAAAAAAGCACUUGGCCUCCCUAAUACAGUGUGACCUGGGACAAGUUACUUAACCUCUCUGAGGCUUCCUCAACAGUAAAAGGGAGAUGAUGACAAUGGGGCCUCAAUUAGAGGGCUAUUGGAGGGUGACACGCAGUAAACCAUCGCAAGUUCUCAGCGCGGGGCUGGGUUCUAUCACUGAGAAGAGCUUCCAUCUGACUGCCCUUGUUAUCACUCUAGAAGGCGUGCUUCAGAAGAAAGCACACCUGAGUGUGCCCCAGCUUGCUCACACUUUGCUGGUGUGGCUCCAGGAUGUGCAUGCAGAUUUCCUUUAAUCUUGUCAAAGGUAGAGCCUGAUUCAGCAGGUCUGGGAGGGACCCAAGGUUGACAUUUCUAACCAGAGGGCAGGUGAUGCCGGUCCGAGGAUCACACUUCGAGUAACACGUAGCCCUACUGCCCUCCUGUGCCUCCCUCGUAAGGGGGGGGAGGGGGACGACAAUGACCGCCGCACAGGGUUGUUGUACGGAUUACGUGGGACAAUGUGGGUUAGAAGCCCCUGGCACUCAGCUGGGCACACAGUGGGUGCUGAGAAGAUGCUCCCUGCUCUCCUCCCACCAACUAGCUAAUCGCCAAUAGUAUUCAUCUUGGCACAACCUCCACCCAAGAGCACAGUAACAGUGUUCAAAUAAGGUUUAAUGAAGGAAUGAACGAAUGAAUGAAGAAACCCCUUUUUCUUCCUUUUUAGGGCCACACCUGCAGCGCAUGGAAUAAGUUCCCAUCCAAGUAGUCCCAGCGUCCAACCAGGCCUCAUCCCCUGACCCCUGAGACAGUCAGCCCCCACCUGGCUCCCCAGACCCAAGAGUCCAGCGGUGCUGGGAUACAGCUGGACUCCUCCGAAGUCCACACAGCCUUCCUGCCAAGCCACCACACAAUGCCUGCCUGCCUGCCAACCUGACAUGGAGCCCUCCGCUUUUUUAUUGCUAAUUAAUUUGGAUGGAGAUGUCUUUAAAACGAGACUUACGUGGGGUCCUCCCCACUGUCUGUGAACCAAUUUCAUUACAACAGACACCGUGUUGCCAAAAUGAGAAAUCCCCUCCUUCUCGGGCCUGUGCCCUUGAAGGCAUCUUAUUAGAAAAGACCAUUUCUUAAUUAACAUUUUUGAUCUUUAAUCCAUUACACAUCCCUCUAAUCCUGUACGGAGGUGCGGCUGGCCCACUUCCGCGGGCUGGCUCGGGGCUGCGCGAGGCUGGCAAUUUCAGCGCUGAGGGCUCGCUCACAGCUGGACUCCACCGCGGACAGUCUGCCGCUUCCAGACACCACCCCUGGUCCGGCCGCGGGUACAUUUCCCGAGCGGGAGCUGGGAAGGGGGGCUCGGCCCAGACACCCCCGGAUGGGCCAGUCUGCCGACAAGAGUUCAUUUCAUUAACCCCUGAACCCCAUCUCUUCUCGCCCCAGAAUGCUUUCAAGCCAAGGCUGUUUCAGCGGCUCUGGCUCCCACCAAGCGUGAGCGCCGCGAGGCUGGUCUUCCUUCCCAUUCGCACAAAUCUCAAGCAACUCGACCACAUCUGUAGGAAGAGCCGGUCCCAGCAAGGUCGCAGGAUCCCAGUUUGGAAAGCUUUGGACCUGCUCAGUGACUCCAUCUUCCUGGAAGACUUUCUUCAUUGGGUUCUGUGGGCCCCACCCUUCCUGGGUUCCCCCCACCUCCCUGUGCACAUAUCUGUCUCCUCAGUCUCUCUGCCUCAUCUCAGCCUUCCAUACUGAUGCCUCCUGGAUGCAGAUCGCAACUCCUUAGUUCAGCCUGGGCUCACUCCCCUGGUAGGUGCAUCCAUCCCAGCUUCAAGGACCAAUGACACACUCCAGACACCCAAAUACAUGCCCCAUCCCAUCCUCCCCAGAUCGCAGAAUGCACACACUCAAGCCCUCAUCAGCAUCCAAGAGGCAUCUCAAACUUAGAGCCACAAACUAACUCUCAACCCACAGCCUGCAUCUGUACCAGAGGGCAGAACCUCCAGCACAGUGAAGGGCCCCUCCGGCCACUUAGCCGCACACCUGGCAGCCAUCUGAGGUCCCCUCCUUUUCUCAUCCCCAACAUCCAAUCCAGGAGCAAAUUCCGCUGGACCUCCCUCCCAGAGAAACUCCUCACCUGACCUCUUCACUUCCCGCCAUGGGGCCCCGUCCCACCAUCGCUCACCUGGACCAGUGCGCCGGUCAGCUUCACUCCUGCCCACACGCAACUCAACAGAAGCCACAGUGUCCGCUACGGCUUCCUCCCCCUGCAGCUCCCAGACCUCACCUGGGCCCCUCUGCCCCUGGCUCAGUGGCUUCCAGCCACAGUGGCAUCAAUUCCCUUCUUUGUCCUCCAAUAAACCCAGCUCAUUCCCACAGGGGUAAAUGUUUGGAACCCUGCUCACACCUUGCUGCACGGCUCGCUCCCUCUCUGCACAAAUGCCCCCUCCUUGGCAGAGGCCUCUCCAACGGCCCUCUCCUCCCCACCGCCCCAUCAGUCUCCAACUGGCCACGCCACUGGUCCCUGUAACAUAUGUAUUUAUUGUUUACUUUGCUGGCCUCAUCUUCCCCACUAGACUCAUAUCGGGAACUUUGUAGGCCCUGCUCACCAUCUCGAAGUCCCCGGCACUUAGGAGGUGCUCAGUAACCCUUGCAAGUGACAGGCUGAAGCCUGGCAGGCCCUUGCCAGUGGUGAGUCAGGCUCACAGCCAUCACUGGCCAUCAAGAGGAGGUCCUGCAAUCUGAGCACUGAAGGGCAUCCAGCAGCAACUGAGAAGGUGGUCAGAGAGUGAGUAGAACUUCCCGGCGAUCUAUGUUCUGAGAAAGUGUCCAUCAGUGAAUAAAGCACAUCUGAGCCUCAUGCUGGAUCACCAGGGGCAGGAGGGAGAGAAGGUGUCCAUAGGGACAGGGGAGAUGGAGCCUCUGAACAGUUAAAGAAAAGGGGCAAGCUGACAGGUGGUCCUUCAGUGACUCCAAAGGGCAGGAUAGGAGCUCAUGGAAAAGCAGGUUCCCAGGAGACACGUGGGCAAAGGCUUCACAGCCUCGGCCUCCUGGGGCUGGACCUGGAAGGACAUGCAGCUUUGGGGUGGAUGGUGUGGCAGGAGGAGGGGCAAUGCAGGAGGGGGGACACAGCCCAAGCAAAGGCACGGGCUGGAAUGAGGACCCAGGACAGCAAGGAGGGGACUCUAUAAGAGACCGUUUCUGGGACUUGAGGGGUUCUCACCACCCAUCUCAGCUCUUCCAGCAAAAUGCUCCUGUGAGAUCCUCCAGGGACCACCCACCUCAGGGCAUCACUACCUCCCAUGCUGCCGAAGACUCCCGAAUCCCACCAGCUACAGAGCCUGGCAUGAGGCCCCGGACUUCCAGUCUAGGGCUCCUGCCGUCCAGCACUCCCCAAGCUCCCCCUACCUCUGCAUUCCCAGUCCAUGAUCUGAGCCC
Molecule: long non-coding RNA, 4784 nt
Filed under: Sus scrofa (pig)
Lineage: Eukaryota; Metazoa; Chordata; Mammalia; Artiodactyla; Suidae
Description: lncRNA (ENSSSCG00050022192.1)
Source: RNAcentral